GUCUGACAUGUGUGCGAGU
RNAcentral lists this small nuclear RNA (19 nucleotides) under Arabidopsis thaliana (thale cress). RNAcentral's name for it is "snRNA_02490". Lineage: Eukaryota; Viridiplantae; Streptophyta; Magnoliopsida; Brassicales; Brassicaceae. The record is from RNAcentral.